Molecule: long non-coding RNA, 242 nt
Filed under: Lathyrus oleraceus (garden pea)
Lineage: Eukaryota; Viridiplantae; Streptophyta; Magnoliopsida; Fabales; Fabaceae
Description: Pisum sativum (pea) long non-coding RNA (PSAT_LNC000611)
Source: RNAcentral
AAUGGGAAACCCUAUAGUACUCAUCAACACCUAAAGCGGCAAUGAGCAUAUUUCUAGCUUUCCAUUCGUAGCUAUACUUUUUCUCAUCUUCUUCAUUCCAUUGUGCUUCAGAUUUAGGUACAACAAAGUCAUCUGCAUUGGUCAUGGUUAUUUCCAUAGGACCAUCUUAGAUGACUUUCCAUACUUUCCUAUCAAUAGAGUUGAUAUGGAUACGCAUACAAUCUUUCCAAUAAAUAUAGUUU